Molecule: non-coding RNA, 94 nt
Organism: Armillaria borealis
Lineage: Eukaryota; Fungi; Basidiomycota; Agaricomycetes; Agaricales; Physalacriaceae
Source: the annotation of a GenBank genome assembly
UCGGAUAUGGUGUAACGGUUAACAUUGCCGCCUUUCAUUUGCACGUAUACUGUACCCUUCGCGGCAGCUCGGGGUUCGAUUCCCCGUAUCCGAA